AGAGUUUGAUCAUGGCUCAGGAUGAACGCUAGCUACAGGCUUAACACAUGCAAGUCGAGGGGAAACGACAUCGAAAGCUUGCUUUUGAUGAGCGUCGACCGGCGCACGGGUGAGUAACGCGUAUCCAACCUGCCCACCACUUGGGGAUAACCUUGACGAAAGUAAGACUAAUACCCAAUGAUAUCUCUAGAAGACAUCUGAAAGAGAUUAAAGAUUUAUCGGUGAUGGAUGGGGAUGCGUCUGAUUAGCUUGUUGGCGGGGUAACGGCCCACCAAGGCAACGAGUCGGUAGGGGUUCUGAGAGGAAGGUCCCCCACAUUGGAACUGAGACACGGUCCAAACUCCUACGGGAGGCAGCA
Molecule: ribosomal RNA, 358 nt
Filed under: uncultured bacterium
Lineage: Bacteria
Description: bacterial SSU rRNA
Rfam family: Bacterial small subunit ribosomal RNA
Source: RNAcentral